Molecule: long non-coding RNA, 519 nt
Filed under: Homo sapiens (human)
Lineage: Eukaryota; Metazoa; Chordata; Mammalia; Primates; Hominidae
Description: HSALNT0323154
Source: RNAcentral
CAUGCUUUCUGUAAAGCCUGCAGAACCAUGAGCUAAUUAAACCUCUUGUUAUAAAUUACCCAGUCUCAGGUAUUUUUCAUAACAAUGCAAGAAUGGCCUAAUACAGCAAGACCGCCCUUUCUACCCUCUUCAAUGCUUCUGUCUUUGCUAUGUUAAAACCAGGUAUUAAGGCUGAAUUUGUCUACACAUCAAACAUGUACCUAGGAGGAAUAUUUGCUCUGUGCCAUCAGCAGUGUAGAAACUAGAAUAACCAGCUGCCGUAUUGUGAGCUGCAUUAUGAAGAGAACCAUGUGGCAAGACACUGAGGGAGAUCUCCAGCCAACAACAACUCAUAAGCAACUAAAUCUUGUGAUGAACCACUGGAGUCAUCUGGAAAGAGGAUCCUCUCACCUUCAAUCUUUGAAAUGGCUAGAGCUCUGAUGACAGUUGGAUUACAGCCUUAGGAGAAACAGAGAGCCGGGGAAAUUUGUGCCCAGGUUCCUUUCCCACAGACAUUGUCAGAUAAUAAAUAUCUCUGCG